AUACGGAGGGUGCAAGCGUUAUUCGGAAUCACUGGGCGUAAAGGACGCGUAGGCGGGUUGGCAAGUCAGAUGUGAAAUCCUACAGCUUAACUGUAGAACUGCAUUUGAAACUUCUAAUCUAGAGUAUGGGAGGGGGAGAUGGAAUUAGUGGUGUAGGGGUAAAAUCCGUAGAUAUCACUAGGAAUACCGAAAGCGAAGGCGAUCUCCUGGAACAUAACUGACGCUAAGGCGUGAAAGCGUGGGGAGCAAACGGGAUUAGAAACCCUAGUAGUCC
Molecule: ribosomal RNA, 274 nt
Filed under: uncultured bacterium
Lineage: Bacteria
Description: partial 16S ribosomal RNA
Rfam family: Bacterial small subunit ribosomal RNA
Source: RNAcentral